UUUCGCAAUGCCCGAAAGGGUGACGAAGCGACGCCGCGUGGGUGAGGAAGGCCUUCGGGUUGUAAAACCCUGUCAGGAGUUAAGAAAUGUAAGUGCGUUAAUACCGCAUUUAUUUGACGAAGGCUCCAAAGGAAGCCACGGCUAACUCUGUGCCAGCAGCCGCGGUAAUACAGAGGUGGCAAGCGUUGUUCGGAAUUAUUGGGCGUAAAGGGCACGUAGGUGGAUUUGUAAGUCAGAUGUGAAAGCCUUCUGUUCAACGGAAGAAGCGCAUCUGAAACUACAAACCUUGAGUAUAGGAGGGGGGAGUGGAACUUCUGGUGGAGCGGUGAAAUGCGUAGAUAUCAGAAGGAACGCCGGCGGCGAAAGCGACUCUCUGGCCUAUAACUGACACUGAGUGUGCGAAAGCUAGGGGAGCAAACGGGAUUAGAUACCCCGGUAGUCCUAGCCGUAAACGAUGGGCACUAAGUAGAGGGGUUUUA
Molecule: ribosomal RNA, 479 nt
Filed under: uncultured bacterium
Lineage: Bacteria
Description: bacterial SSU rRNA
Rfam family: Bacterial small subunit ribosomal RNA
Source: RNAcentral